Long non-coding RNA from Maniola jurtina (meadow brown), 145 nucleotides. RefSeq lists it as uncharacterized. The transcript is spliced from 3 exons. NCBI's taxonomy places the organism in Eukaryota, Metazoa, Arthropoda, Insecta, Lepidoptera, Nymphalidae. The record is from RefSeq and is a predicted model, not a curated record.
UCUUGGUAAAAAAAUGUAGGUGUAAGGACAAUUUUUGUAAAUAAUCAUAUGAUCUACAAUGUUUGUUUGAAAUAUUUUAUGAUAAAACUUACCGAUUAGCUGGAAAAGGCAAAAAUCCCAUUUUCGUGAACGUUGACCUUGAAUA